Molecule: long non-coding RNA, 948 nt
Organism: Manacus vitellinus (golden-collared manakin)
Lineage: Eukaryota; Metazoa; Chordata; Aves; Passeriformes; Pipridae
Exons: 7
Source: RefSeq, a predicted model, not a curated record
GGCUAGAAAGUGCUGUGCGAAGGAUACAACAUGUUGUUAACACAGUUGCUUUUCCAAGGGAGAUCUGUGUAAGAGGACUGAGAGAACAGUGACUGGUCACCCUCCUGCAAUGUCACAAUCCCUCCUGGACCUUUUGAGUGGCUAGGCUGGAAACAUCCUAAGGGGAUUUUUCUGCUUCUUCUUUUUCCCCUCCUUUCACUACAUCGGGCUUGUCUUCCUGCUGUCUUAAGGAGACCACCUACAAUUUAAGGAAAUAAAGACCUCUGUGAAAAAACACAGGCAAACCUGAUAUUUAAGGGCACUAACUGUGGGAAGCCUAGGUACCUCAGUGUUCUCCUCCUAGCACUGCGAAUAAAUGCUAGAACUGCCCCCUAAUGCAGAGGAUACAAGAGGGGAGCAUCAUUUUAUCAUAACACGGAUGCGUCCUUUGCAACUGUGACUUUCCUUGGCUGGCAUGUGGGAUGCUGUGAUCAACCUGCUGUGUUUUCUGUCUUUCUCUGGGACAGCUGAAUGGAUACAGAGAUGUGAGCUUUCAAUACCUGCAAGUUUCCAUAUGAUCUGUUGGCAGCGCUCUGCAUGAAAGGGACCAUGAGAAGCUGGAGGUGCUACAGGGAGGCAAACCCAGCAGGCUGGUAGCAGGCACAAACACGCCCGUCCUGACGAAUUUGGGCACAUGGCAUGGUACCGCAGAAACCAAACCCAGACAUUCACCUGGGGAGCUUGAGCAAGAUGUGGAAAUAUAUGGUGCAACUGGAUUCUCUGCAACAUCUGAUUCCUGUGGCCUCACUAACUGUUGAGCUUCCAGCUGUGAGGGGGGAGCGGUUUGGUACAUACAAUGUCACAGCUCCUUCUAUGUAAUUAAUUGCAACAAUCAACCGAGUGUGAAAUCCAUCAGUCUCUGGGUCCUCUGUUGCUCGCUUUGAUGCCAGCUCUUCUUCUUUCAUUUUC